Molecule: ribosomal RNA, 497 nt
Filed under: uncultured bacterium
Lineage: Bacteria
Description: partial 16S ribosomal RNA
Rfam family: Bacterial small subunit ribosomal RNA
Source: RNAcentral
GAUGAACGCUGGCGGCGUGCCUAAUACAUGCAAGUCGAGCGAACGGACGAGAAGCUUGCUUCUCUGAUGUUAGCGGCGGACGGGUGAGUAACACGUGGAUAACCUACCUAUAAGACUGGGAUAACUUCGGGAAACCGGAGCUAAUACCGGGUGAUAUUUUGAGCCGCAUGGUUCAAAAGUGAAAGACGGUCUUGCUGUCACUUAUAGAUGGAUCCGCGCUGCAUUAGCUAGUUGGUAAGGUAACGGCUUACCAAGGCAACGAUGCAUAGCCGACCUGAGAGGGUGAUCGGCCACACUGGAACGUAGACAGGGUCAAGACGCCUAAGGGAGGCACCAGUAGGGAAUCUGCCGCAAUGGGGGAAAGCCUGACGGAGCAACGCCGCGUGAGUUAUGACGGUCUUCGGAUCGUAAAACUCUGUUAUUAGGGAAGAACAUAUGUGUAAGUAACUGUGCACAUCUUGACGGUACCUAAUCAGAAAGCCACGGCUAACUACGUG